This 4563-nucleotide long non-coding RNA is filed under the name Sus scrofa (pig). RNAcentral's name for it is "lncRNA (multiple genes)". The record is from RNAcentral. Lineage: Eukaryota; Metazoa; Chordata; Mammalia; Artiodactyla; Suidae.
UAGUUGCAUAAACUUGCUGCCACUUAAUCUCAGCCUUUGAAGCCAUCCUCGGCUCUGGCCUCGGCUGGCUUGAUGCACCAACAAGCAGCCCAUGAGGUAUAAUAAAAGGACCUUCUCCAGGACAGCUUCCCGGGCAGCUGCCACUUUGCUUUUAAUUUCCCAAAUGCGUCACUCCCGUUGAGGGCUAGGGUAUCAGAGACCCCGUAGAAAUAAUGCACAAAGUACCCCCUCUGGGUAUUACCAGAUUUAGCAACUCACGCGAUGACUCUCCUAGGAAAUUCUAUAAAGGAACAGAACACAGAACCGACUAUGUUGGAGCAGGCAGAGAGAAGCAUAGGGUGCUAGAAAGAUGACUGACUCCAGGUUCAUGUCCAAACCACACGUUUUGAUGGCUGAAGCCAAAACGAGGGUGAAGACUGCGGUUGGGAAAUCUGGAAAAUAUUCUACAAGCCGUUUUCGUGCAAUAACUAUUUCAAGAGUCGUGGUGGGCGGCUCCCCAGGCACACACUCUGGGCACUUGCAGUCCUCCCUCCACCCCAGGCUUUGGAAAGUCCUGUAGCCUCCUUUCUCCAACUUAAUAGGCAGCGGUGGACGUGGCAUAUUCUGCCAGUACAGUCUAACAAUCAUCAGGCUGUGUUAGGGAAUUUGUGAACCUGGGAUAAUCAGUGUCAUAGCAUUUCCUCCUUACCCCCAAAGUCCUGGAAAGCUCUUUAGUAUCCCAUCAUAGCCUCUCUAGGGGUCUGAUUUAUGGGACUAGAAGAAAAACAUCAAAAUAUAUGGGAUUCGAUGACUACUGAUGAAUACAGUGACCAUGGAUGGAAUUCCGGCCAUGAUCGUGAUUAUGAAUUCUUCUCUCAUCUGUGCGCUCUGGUUUCCUCAUCUGUAAAAGGGGCAUAACCUUAGCACUGAGCCCCCAGGGCUGUACAGAGGAGGAAAUGAGCUUUUUUAUGUUAAGUGCUUAGUACACUACCUGGCAUAUAGGAACUGCUUUGUACCUGUUAGCCUUGACUAAUUGGAGGAACUAGGGGGAAAAAUGUAAUUCCUGUGUCUCAAAUACACCUAAAAAUAUAGUAAGGUCCCGUUAUAAGCCUCUUUGUAAAGGUUAAUUAUGCCAUAGGUCAUACGACGUGCUUUCCUCAGUGGUAAUCAGCAAUUUUUGCUCACGGUGACAAUCAAAGGCCACACUUACAGAGCUCCUUCUGUAUAUUAAAAUGUGAUUUUUUUGUAUAGUAGAAUGUGAGAUAUUUGCUUUACAAAGAACUUUCUCUUCUCAUUAGAGUCUUACAAGAUCCCUAUGAAAGAUUUCUUGCAGUUAAAUGACUUGCCCAAAGUCAUACAGGCAGAAAGUUAUGAAGAUUGCAUCAGAGUCCCCGAUCUGACUCUAGAUGUUGUCCUUUUUCAUUCCAUAUAUGGACUAGCCUUAUGCCACAUUGUCAUCCCCAUCAGCCAUGAAAAGGCAGAAAAUACGAAACGCAAAGUAACAGUGUGGGUUGAAUGAGCCCAUUUCUGUAAGUUCUUGAAUGCUACUCAGUUGAUAUGACUACAGCAGUUCAGAGUAAACUUUUCUUGUGAUUUGUAGUAAGAUAUGACAUUUAUUUAUUUAUUUGCUUUUUAGGGCCUCACCCACGGCAUAUGGAAGUUCUCCAGGUUAGGGGUCAAAUCAGAGCUACAGCUCUCAGCCUGUACCACAGUCACAGCAACAGGGGAUCUGAGCCACAUCUGGGACCUACACCAUAGCUCACGGCAACACCAGAUCCUUAACCACUGAGUAAGCCCAGGGAUCGAAUCCACAUCCUCAUGGAUACCAGUCAGAUUCGUUUCUGUGCCACAGUGGGACCUCUCUGACAUUUAUUUAUUUUUGAACCUUUAAAAAUACUACCAAUUAUUAACAAAAGUUGAGCUUUUAAAUUUUUCUUGCUUGGUAUUUUGGAGUAGGAGACAUGUCAUAAAUGAGUUUCAUGUGGAUUAACCCAGAAACUGCACAUAGUGUCUACAAGCUAUGUCAUAGUGUCAUUCAACCCACACUGUUAUCUUAAAGGAUUUUAGGCAUAUAUCAUGAUGUUCUUUUGAUACUUUAUCUCAGUGUUCCAUAAAAUUUCCUUGGUAUUCUCUUGAAUCUCAAGUCUGAUUUAGAUAAACUGAGUAGAAUGAACACAAAAAGUGAGGACCUGAGAUGCAGUCAGUUAGUGAUUGAUAAGGCUGUUCACUUUUACUGUGGUAAAGAGUAUUAUUGACCUUUGAAAAGAAUUUUGGAAAGAUAGAGAAGCAGAGAAAUUCAGUGAAAGAUGAUUACAGUGUUGAGGUAUAAGCCUUUCCUUGUCCUCAUCUUUGCCCUAGGCAAACUCAUCUGUGAAAUACCAAGGACAGAACUGAACAUUCAUUGGAAUUCAUGAUGAUACUUGCUUAAGGGAAGGUAACAGAAGGCUUUCGUUUCAGGACUGUAAUAUCACAUUUCUGCCACCAAUGGCACAUAAUUGGAAGAAAGGAAUCUGGCAGUCAAAUAUCAUGUCCCUAGUGUGACAGGAGCAGAAUCAAAGAUGAGAAGCCAAAAGUCAUCUCAUUUUCUCAUGUUCUUGGCAUGUUUUAACAAUUUCUUCUGACGACUAGAAUAAAUACUUAGAGAUCAGGGAGCUGCUUCUGAAGCUGAUAAAGGCCCAAAGAUGCUCAAAUGUAGCAUUGUUGUGGGCCUAACAGGUGGUAGAUCACAUCACCUAAGAACCAGACAUGGCCUUUGAAAAGCAGUUUUGUGUCAGAUGAUUGGACCAAAUAAAAGUUAGGAGAAGUUAGAAACCUACAAAUCUUUAUAAUAUUCAAAAGGAUAAAUAAGUAUUACUUAAGUCUGUUAUUACUCAUCUGUCCAAUGAAAUCAAGCAAGAAUUUAGGAAAUAAUCUCAGCACAAGAAAGCGCCAAAGAAUGAAAUAUAUUUGUGCUUAAAAUAAAAGGUUUGGUGUUAGCUACGUCCAGGUGGUUCUACAUCUAAUUGGUUUGUCAGAAUACAAGUAAUGUGAACAAUUCAUAUUUUUUUGAUGUUGCAGCACCCACCAAGAAUAUUUCCCAACAUUUUCUUACUGUACAAUUUGGCUUUCUUCUAUUAGAAUGUUUGUGAGUAGAAAUAUCUUCCCAUUCUUUCUAAUAACCAUGUCCAUUUUUUCUUUCACAAAAAAAAGUAUUACCAACCAGAAAAGAUCCUAGCAGACAGUUAUUUUUAAGUUUUCAUGGGUUCACUCAAACUAUUAAUUUAUCUUAUUUGUGUUGACCUCCAAAGACUACCUGAGUAAAUUAUGAAGGAAGAACCUGAAACCUAUUUGCUGCCCUGCCUUUCAGGAACUUUGUUGCUGCCUGUGUGUUUGGUUCAAUUCUGAAUGCCCAGGGCCCUGGGAAACGAGUUCUCCAUCUCACCUCAUUGUAGCAUGGCACCUCGUCAGUCCCCAGACCAGGAGCAAGCUUAGACACACAGAGCACACCCAUGUGGUUUGACAAACAGGUCAGCUUAACUGAGGAUAUUAAUUGAAAGAGAGAAGCAUAUAAAACACUCAAUUUGGGUACUCCAUUUUCUCAGAUGGCGUUUUAUGAAAACUGCUACACAUUUCCUUUCAAGUCAUCCUCAUAUUUAUUGGAUACGCCAGUGCCAAACAUCACGUGGCCAUUUGGGAACAAUAAUAUCUGCCCCAUUAGUGUUUUUAUAAGAAUCAAAGUCAGUAACUUCAGUCAACUCUAUGGCAUCCUAUAGACUCAACAUCUAGUAGGUACUGUUACACUUAACAGUCUCACAUUUGUUAGCAAUUUUAACUUAUCCUUUCAACAAUAAACUUCUAGGCCCAAGAUGGAGCCCCUCCUGCCAGGUGUGCCAGUUCAGCAAACCAAAAGAUAGAUAACUUUCUGGUUCCUGCAAAUGUUCCUCUUGACUGGGAAUGCAAUAUGGAUGCAGCCAAUCAAUUCCCAAACAGCAGGCCAACUUUGAGCCUUCUCACCCCAAACAAGGUUGACUCUGUAGCCCCAGCCAGUUAGAUAUUUUCUGUUUCUCUCAUCCUUGUUCUUGUAAAAUAAAGUUUGUAAACUCAUUCUUUGAGGCCACCAUCACCCUGAUACCAAAACCAGAAAAGAUACCACAUAAAAAAAGAAAAUUACAGGCCAAUAUCACAGAUGAACAUAGAUGCAAAAAUCCCCAACAAAAUACCAGCAAACUGAAUCCAACAAUACAAUACACCAUGAUCAAGUGGGAUUAUCCCAGAGAUGCAGGGAUUUCUCAAUAUCCACAAAUCAAUUGGUGUGAUACAAUGCAUUAACAAAUGGACGAAUAAAAACCAUAUGAUGUCUCAAUAGAUGCAGAAAAACUUUUGACAAAACCAACAUUCAUGUAUGGGAGAAAAAAAUACCUCCAGAAAGUGAGUGAGGGAAACCACUUCAACAUAAUGAAAGUCAUAUGACAAACCCACAGCUAAAUAGCAUCAUUUUCAAUAGGGAAAAGCUGAAAGAAUUCUCACCAAGAUCAAGAACAAGCAAGGAUCUCCACUCUCAUCACCUUUAUUCAACAUAGUUUUGGAAGACCUAGCCACAGCAAU